GACGAACGCUGGCGGCAUGCCUAACACAUGCAAGUCGAACGGAGAUUAUUUCGGUAAUCUUAGUGGCGAACGGGUGAGUAACGCGUAGGCAACCUGCCCUUUAGUUGGGGACAACAUCCCGAAAGGGGUGCUAAUACCGAAUGUGAUCACUUUUCCGCAUGGAAUUGUGAUGAAAGAUGGCCUCUAUUUAUAAGCUAUCGCUAAAGGAUGGGCCUGCGUCUGAUUAGCUAGUUGGUGGGGUAACGGCUCACCAAGGCGACGAUCAGUAGCCGGUCUGAGAGGAUGAACGGCCACAUUGGGACUGAGACACGGCCCAGACUCCUACGGGAGGCAGCAGUGGGGAAUCUUCCGCAAUGGGCGAAAGCCUGACGGAGCAAUGCCGCGUGAGUGAUGAAGGAAUUCGUUCCGUAAAGCUCUUUUGUUUAUGACGAAUGUGCAUGUUGUGAAUAAUGACGUGUAAUGACGGUAGUAAACGAUAAGCCACGGCUAACUACG
Molecule: ribosomal RNA, 495 nt
Filed under: uncultured bacterium
Lineage: Bacteria
Description: bacterial SSU rRNA
Rfam family: Bacterial small subunit ribosomal RNA
Source: RNAcentral